AGCUCCUCUGCGCCCGGGAGGCCGUGCACCCUGUGCAGUCCGU
RNAcentral lists this non-coding RNA (43 nucleotides) under Lingulaulax polyedra. Lineage: Eukaryota; Dinophyceae; Gonyaulacales; Lingulodiniaceae. The record is from RNAcentral.